GGGCUCGUAGAUCAGUGGAAGAUCGCCUGCUUUGCAAGCAGGAGGCCGGGGGUUCAAAUCCCUCCGAGUCCA
Molecule: transfer RNA, 72 nt
Filed under: Nanobdellati archaeon
Lineage: Archaea; Nanobdellati
Description: tRNA-Ala
Rfam family: tRNA
About the family: Transfer RNA (tRNA) molecules are approximately 80 nucleotides in length.
Source: RNAcentral